RNAcentral lists this ribosomal RNA (467 nucleotides) under uncultured bacterium. Its description in RNAcentral is "partial 16S ribosomal RNA". It matches the Rfam family "Bacterial small subunit ribosomal RNA", at positions 28 to 507 of the family's 1533-position model. The record is from RNAcentral.
GAUGAACGCUGGCGGCGCGCCUAACACAUGCAAGUCGAACGAUUAAAGCACCCUCGGGUGUGUAUAAAGUGGCGAACGGCUGAGUAACACGUGGGCAACCUGCCCCUCUCAUUGGGAUAGCCACGGGAAACCGUGGAUAAUACCGAAUACUUCGGGACUUCCGCAUGGAAGACUCGAGAAAGCUCCGGCGGAGAGGGAUGGGCCCGCGGCCUGUUAGCUUGUUGGUGGGGUAAUGGCCUACCAAGGCAAUGAUGGGUAGCUGGGUUGAGAGACCGACCAGCCAGAUUGGGACUGAGACACGGCCCAGACUCCUACGGGAGGCAGCAGUGGGGAAUCUUGCACAAUGGGCGAAAGCCUGAUGCAGCGACGCCGCGUGCGGGAUGAAGGCCUUCGGGUUGUAAACCGCUUUCAGCAGGGACGAGGCGAAAGUGACGGUACCUGCAGAAGAAGCCCCGGCUAACUACGUG